UGGCUCAGAUGGUAAAGUGUCUGCCUACAAUGCAGGAAACCCAGGUUCAAUCCCUGG
RNAcentral lists this transfer RNA (57 nucleotides) under Bos taurus (domestic cattle). It matches the Rfam family "tRNA", at positions 8 to 63 of the family's 71-position model. Rfam says of the family: Transfer RNA (tRNA) molecules are approximately 80 nucleotides in length. Their secondary structure includes four short double-helical elements and three loops (D, anti-codon, and T loops). Further hydrogen bonds mediate the characteristic L-shaped molecular structure. tRNAs have two regions of fundamental functional importance: the anti-codon, which is responsible for specific mRNA codon recognition, and the 3' end, to which the tRNAs corresponding amino acid is attached (by aminoacyl-tRNA synthetases). tRNAs cope with the degeneracy of the genetic code in two manners: having more than one tRNA (with a specific anti-codon) for a particular amino acid; and 'wobble' base-pairing, i.e. permitting non-standard base-pairing at the 3rd anti-codon position. The record is from Rfam by way of RNAcentral. Lineage: Eukaryota; Metazoa; Chordata; Mammalia; Artiodactyla; Bovidae. RNAcentral also lists the same sequence under 4 other names.